GGCACAAUUUUUUUUAUAAGCAUAAAUUUUAUUGAUAACAAUUAUCGAAGAAAAACUUAACAUAUAUCAUUAGCCUACUAUCAGGUCAUCAGACCUCCCCAAAACACCAACCUAGGACGAAACGUGCUAAGUAGGAAAACCUGAAGAGAUGCACAAUACAAGAACAAUUACUGCACAAAAUUAAAAGAAGCAAAGGACUCAAGCACAUAUGACAUGCAAUACAGCAGCAGGACACACAGUAAUCAAACACACAAAGUCAAUAAUCUAAACCCAUUCGCACACAACCAAAACUAAGACCAAAGCUCCUUACUUACAUAAUCUAAUUAAUGACGAAGCACACUUAUAAAUUACAUUAAUACAUGUCCACAAUUGCAACUGCAUUAAUUGAUAAGAGCAUAAAAACAACAUGCAUGAAAAAUUAAAUCACACUCAAAUGUUACUACCAGCAAACGCAAUUUACACGGCGUCUUUGACGGCGCUUUGGGACAACAUCGAAGUAACCAAUGACAUAGAAAACCAACACUGUCGACAAAAAUCCAAAAGGAAAUCCAAUUCCGGCCAUAACCCACGAAAACCAUGUCUCUUGACUUCUACUUUCCUCCGGCUCUGGGAUCACCUUAUCACAUGGCACUUGAAUUUGCAUCCCACACAAUCCACUGUUAUUAGCAUAAGA
This 673-nucleotide unclassified non-coding RNA is filed under the name Hevea brasiliensis (rubber tree). Lineage: Eukaryota; Viridiplantae; Streptophyta; Magnoliopsida; Malpighiales; Euphorbiaceae. The record is from RNAcentral.